RNAcentral lists this ribosomal RNA (465 nucleotides) under Vreelandella stevensii. RNAcentral's name for it is "partial 16S ribosomal RNA". It matches the Rfam family "Bacterial small subunit ribosomal RNA", at positions 338 to 795 of the family's 1533-position model. Lineage: Bacteria; Pseudomonadati; Pseudomonadota; Gammaproteobacteria; Oceanospirillales; Halomonadaceae. The record is from RNAcentral.
CCUACGGGGGGCAGCAGUGGGGAAUAUUGGACAAUGGGCGAAAGCCUGAUCCAGCCAUGCCGCGUGUGUGAAGAAGGCCUUCGGGUUGUAAAGCACUUUCAGUGGGGAAGAAAGCCUUGGGGCUAAUACCCUCGAGGAAGGACAUCACCCACAGAAGAAGCACCGGCUAACUCCGUGCCAGCAGCCGCGGUAAUACGGAGGGUGCGAGCGUUAAUCGGAAUUACUGGGCGUAAAGCGCGCGUAGGCGGUCUGAUAAGCCGGUUGUGAAAGCCCCGGGCUCAACCUGGGAACGGCAUCCGGAACUGUCAGGCUAGAGUGCAGGAGAGGAAGGUAGAAUUCCCGGUGUAGCGGUGAAAUGCGUAGGGAUCGGGAGGAAUACCAGUGGCGAAGGCGGCCUUCUGGACUGACACUGACGCUGAGGUGCGAAAGCGUGGGUAGCAAACAGGAUUAGAUACCCCAGUAGUC